This 456-nucleotide ribosomal RNA is filed under the name uncultured bacterium. Its description in RNAcentral is "bacterial SSU rRNA". It matches the Rfam family "Bacterial small subunit ribosomal RNA", at positions 337 to 802 of the family's 1533-position model. The record is from RNAcentral.
UCCUACGGGAGGCAGCAGCCGAGAAUAUUUGUCAAUGGGCGAAAGCCUGAACGAGCGACGCCGCGUGUGGGAAGAAGGUUUUCGGAUUGUAAACCACUUUUAUUCGGGAGAAAUCCGCAAGGAUGAUAGUACCGAAUGAAUAAGGGGUUCCCAACUCUGUGCUAGCAGGAGCGGUAAUACAGAGACCCCGAGCGUUAUCCGGAAUUAUUGGGCGUAAAGCGUCUGUAGGCGGUUUAAGUAGUGAGAUGUCAAAUGUCGAAGCUCAACUUCGUCACCGCAUCUCAAACGUUUAGACUAGAGCAUAUGAGAGGCUGAUGGAACUUGUGGUGUAGCGGUGAAAUGCGUUGAUAUCACAAGGAACACCAAAGGCGAAGGCAUUCAGCUGGAAUAUUGCUGACGCUGAGAAACGAAAGCGUGGGGAUCAAAAAGGAUUAGAUACCCCAGUAGUCCAAGCCG